AUGGUGAGCUUGUGGACAUAUUGGACACACAGGACAUGGGGCAUGGGGGCCUGAAACACCGUUUUACAGGACAGACGUACACAAAGGGGAAUGCAGCCUGCCAUUGUGUUUCUUCCUUUCUCCUCUAUCCCUUCUUCCCUCCCUGGGAAACCACAGUAGCAGAAGUCUCAUUCAAUCAAACAGUUGUCAAUUAUAUGAGUUGUACUUUUCUCUUCCUGAACAGCAAACUGGCUUUCCUCCUCUUUGUCCUCCUCUUUCUGCCUAUAGAGCAAUUUCCUCCUGUCCACUUUGCAGGGCCGAUAGCUCAAAUACAGUGCUAUGGUGAUGACACCCACUCCAAGGGCAACGGUAAUAAUGACAAAGAGGGUAGAGCU
This 374-nucleotide long non-coding RNA is filed under the name Homo sapiens (human). RNAcentral's name for it is "HSALNT0243735". Lineage: Eukaryota; Metazoa; Chordata; Mammalia; Primates; Hominidae. The record is from RNAcentral.